Molecule: ribosomal RNA, 207 nt
Filed under: uncultured bacterium
Lineage: Bacteria
Description: partial 16S ribosomal RNA
Rfam family: Bacterial small subunit ribosomal RNA
Source: RNAcentral
UGCGUAGGUGGCCCAGAAAGUUGGGUGUGAAAGCCCUCGGCUCAACCGAGGAAUUGCGCCCAAAACUACUGGGCUUGAGGAAGACAGAGGUGAGCGGAACUUAGGGUGGAGCGGUGAAAUGCGUUGAUAUCCUAAGGAACACCAGUGGCGAAAGCGGCUCACUGGGUCUUUUCUGACGCUGAGGCACGAAAGCUAGGGGAGCGAAGA